Molecule: long non-coding RNA, 1945 nt
Organism: Peromyscus californicus insignis
Lineage: Eukaryota; Metazoa; Chordata; Mammalia; Rodentia; Cricetidae
Exons: 2
Source: RefSeq, a predicted model, not a curated record
UGGACCACGGGGGCCGCGGACAAGGGUCAGUAGGCGGGAUGCAGGCUUGGGGAAGGGGCAUAAACCUCGAGGGUGGAGUGGAGGUCUGAGUAGGGUGAAGGAUGAGGAAUGAGGGGCCUGAGACAAGGGCCGAUAGGUGGGGCGCAGGCUUUGGGGCGUGGCAAAUGGCGGAGGGCGGGGCGGAGGGUGGGGCUGGCCUUUCCUCUUGAGUCUGGAACUCAGCCAGAAGUGACUAAGCUUCGUCUGGCCUGAACCUUCACAUUCCUCUUUCCCCUUGGCCCCUGGGUAACACAGAUGUCAAAGUCUUAAGCCUAAUACAUCAGAAUGUGACUGUUUGGAGACAGGAUUUUUGCAGAUGUCAAGACUGAGGCAUUGGAGUUAGCUGCCAUCCUCGUAAGAAGGGGAGUUAGGGUAAGUGUGCAAGCUGUGACAAGGCUUUGUGAAUGUGAGUUGGGCAGCCAUCAAGUCUGGGGGAAGCAGUCCUCCAGCCUCAUCACAUACUGUAGCAUCCAGGUCUGUGAGGGUCUGCCCUGGAAGCUAAAGCUCAUGAUGCUGGUCUGUGGCCAGAGGAGUUUUGAGGGGGAGGAGAAAAAUGGAAGUGUCCUGUAAGGAGCAAGGGGGUAUGCAGGGCAGCCAGGAGGGUCUUUGUCUCUCUUCAGGGGUCAAGGAAGAUGCUUUAAGUGGAGCACGGGCAGUCAGAUCUACACUUUUGAGGAUGACUGUGGCUGCUGUGAAGGUUGGGAUGGGCCAGCAGGCAUGGCAUGUGGAGUCCUAUGAGCAGUAAUGACUUCACCUAAAUACAACCUAAAUACCCCAUAAGUAACAGCCAAUGAGGAAAGGACUUGAGAGUUGGAAAUAAGAUAUCCUGACCCAGGACUCAGAACUAGACCUGUGUCUGGGUUUCCUUUUUCUCUGGUAUAGAUUUCUAGAGCAGGGCCCCAGAGAGGUCUCACACACACAGUGGCCAACAGAUACAGGAAAGUCUUCUGGAAAACCCCUUCUCUCUGGCCAGUUGCAGGAGAGACGUAGAACAAUGCUCCAGUACCAGUUCACAGUCUGUCCCCAGUGACAGUGGCAGUCUGACCCUGCUUGCAGAAGGGUUGCCAGUGGGGACUGCGUAGGCUGCGUAGGCAGUGUUGUGGAGCUGCCCAUCAGCACAGAAACCCACAGAAACAUAUUACACUUAUCCUCAGGAUGGCGGACCCCAGAGAUGUACCUUUAACCCCGCAGAUGGCACCAGCAGAAACUGAGUGCCCCCACCAGCACCAGAGCACCAAGCAGACCAGGAGAGCAAGGAAAGGACUCUGGGGACACAGCCAGCAUUGGAACAAGAGGCCACAGAGUCAAGCCAGACUGUACAUGUGACAUACAUCCCCACACUGGCAUUAGCAGCUGCCUGCUAACGUAGAAGAUUUAAAUAGAACCAGGAGUCUCCAAACAGAAUAACCUAAAUGUCCGGCAUACAUUUGAAAAAGACCGCUUAUCAUUCCAAGAACAUUCACACCGUGAAUGUAAAAAGACUGCUCACCGAAAUGGAUGCCAAAAUGAGCCAUCUGCCGAGGACUUGUCGACAGCCAUGAAAAUCGCUUAUAGGAGUAAUUACAAGAAGAAGUGAUUACAAACUCGUUUAAAAUUGAAAAAAAAAAGAUUAAGUUAGCAACAAAAAAGAAAUUGUAAAGCGCCAAAUGGAAAUUAUAGAAUUUGAGAAAACAACCAGAAUAACACUGUCCAUCAUUAGAAGGACAUAGUGGUAGACUGGAGAUGGAGUGCUAGGACUUGCUUGGAUCUGAAACACAAAGAAAAUAGUACAAAGUGUGAACCUAAGCCAAGUUUGGUGGUGCAUGCCUGAAAUUGUAGCACUGAGGAGGCUGAUGUAGAAGGAAGGUUCUGGGCUGCAUGGUAUGAUCCUGUCUCAAAAAAUAAAAUUAAAACUCCCUGAGUCUCA